UAUGGGAUUAGAAGAAUGAUGUAAUAUCUUUUGCACAACUGUAAUUAUUAACCAGUCGGCAUGGUUAGUAUGAUAUUAGAUCUUUUUUUUUCCUUUUCAAAUUGUGUUACAAUAUGGCAGUUACAUAAAAUACGUCAAUGAGCUCUAAAAAAUAAAAUUAUUGAUAAUGACAAAUGAUGUUACAUCCAUGACUUCAAAUGUUGUCCAUU
This 209-nucleotide unclassified non-coding RNA is filed under the name Hevea brasiliensis (rubber tree). Lineage: Eukaryota; Viridiplantae; Streptophyta; Magnoliopsida; Malpighiales; Euphorbiaceae. The record is from RNAcentral.